GCAGUGGUGGGUUGCUGCUCGGAGCUUUCCUUUGAGCAAAAGCAGAGGGAUAACAAGUGUCUGCGGCCGCAGUGCACCCCCCGCCCUGCUCCAGCCCGGCUGGCGGCUCAGUGUAGCAUCCCGCCCUGCUCUUCCCUCACCCUGGCCCCGGCGCGGCCCUGCUUCCCCAGCCACGCUGAAGGCUUCUGCGCCCGCGCAGCCAGUUCUGUCACCGGGAGCACGCGAGGGGCGGCGCCAGGCCUCGGGUGGAAGGGGAUGCCCUGGUAUCCCUGAGCUGCUGCGAGUGGGGCCAGAGCGCAGCCGGGGCUGGGGCCGUUCCGGGAGGCUCGGGCGGGGCGGCAGGCUGCGUGACGGGGCAGCUCUUGACCCGGUCGUUGCGGGCUCUGCAGAUGACGCUGCCACGGCCCUUCGGUAGCGGUCCCAUGGCAUCUGCGCCGAACGUUCGCCACCGCCUCUCGCCCUCGGGUCUGACCGCUCCAUGGCUGUGCUCUUCUCCGUCCGUGACAUGAGCUCACUAAGACCUAAAAGCGCAACUGGCCGCUUCUCAGGCCACGGAGUGUUGGGCAGCGCCUCAGAACGCGGUGGCGUCAUGUGGCAGGCCCUGCACCCAGACAGUGAGCUAUUGGCGGUAGAGCAGCUUGGCUCCCGAGUUCUCGUGAUGAGGCUGGAGCUGGCAGUGUGAGCACGCUGAAGGGUAAAACAUUUUGGCCUGUCGUGUUGAAAGGAUUUUUUUAAGAAUUGACUAAUGGCACAAUUUACCCAUGGGAUUCCUGUCAACGUCUGUUUGAAAGAACAGUGUCUUUCUAGGAGGAAGGAACAAGAGAGUUUUGCCUUAUGGCUGUUCCAGGAAAGGCAGCAGCUUUCCGUCUGCCUCCACUGCCAACCGUUGGAGACAUUAUUAAACUGUUUCGCCUUAAAGCCCAGAAGCAGCUUUCACAGAACUUUCUGCUGGAUUUGCGGUUGACAGACAAGAUAGUGAAACAAGCUGGCAAGCUGAAAAAUGCCCAUGUUUGCGAAGUCGGCCCUGGGCCAGGAGGAAUUACCAGAUCCAUUCUCAGUGCUGGUGUUGAACAACUCCUUUUAAUUGAAAAAGAUGCUCGAUUUAUUCCAGGAUUGCAGAUGUUGUCUGAAGCAGCUCCAGGAAAAGUGCAAAUUGUUCAUGGAGAUAUCCUGACAUAUAAGAUGGAGAAGGCUUUUCCUAAGCAGUUAAAAAAGAACUGGGAGGAUGAGCCACCAGAUAUACAUAUCAUUGGGAACCUGCCCUUCAGCGUUUCAACUCCUCUAAUCAUUAAAUGGCUUGAAAAUGUUUCCAAAAAGGAUGGACCUUUCACUUAUGGCAGGACACAGAUGACAUUGACUUUUCAGAAGGAAGUCGCAGAGAGGCUUACAGCUAAUCCAGGAGGUAAACAACGUAGCAGACUGUCCAUCAUGUCUCAGCAUCUCUGCACUGUAGAAAACUGUUUCGUAAUUCCAGGUCAAGCCUUUGUUCCAAAGCCAGAGGUGGAUGUAGCUGUGGUACAUUUCACACCAUUGGUGCAACCAAAGAUACAGCAGCCGUUCAAGUUGGUAGAGAAAGUGGUACGAAGUGUCUUUCAAUUUAGAAGAAAAUACUGCUUCCGCGGACUCGAGACCUUGUUUCCUGAAAAUGGUCGUUUGAAAAGAACGGAACAGCUGAUGAUGACAGCAGAUGUUGAUCCAACUCUGCGUCCUGUCCAGCUCUCUAUGUCACAGUUUAGAAAUCUCUGCAAUACCUACAGGAAAAUGUGUGAUGAAGACCCAACCCUUUUUGAGUAUAAUUACAGAGAAGAGCUAAAGCAAAAGAAGAGGAAGAAUUUAACCUAAGUCCCAGUCAUCCUGAAGAGACUGAAGAGGAGAGUCACCAGUAACAGCUGUAAUUGCAGCAGACUGAUUUAUUUUUUUAGUAGUAAACUCCUUGAUCUAGAGGCUUGGAUUCAUUGAAAAGAGGCUUAUGUAUUCCUUAAAUAUAUUGCAGGGCUGCCCUUCUUUGGGCUCCGGUAGUCAUCCUCGUCCUCAUCAUCACUGAGAAUAUCGGACUCUUUGACAAGGACGUGAGAAAAGUCAGCUGCUGCGUGUUUCUCGGGAGAUGGAUGUUUGGGCUCCUGCACGCUGUCGGCGGUGUGGCAGCUGCUGCUCUGAGUGCUGCUGCUCAGGCUGCACUCAUCCGAGUCCUGGAAGGUGCCUUUCCCUGGCUCACCGUUCCACUCGCUGCUGGGUGAAUUCUUCAGUACCCUCAAGGACCUCGUGGAAGCUGUGCAGAGGAAAAAGGCAGGUUGGGUUUUUUUCAGCAAAACAUCGGCUGAGGAUACUGUCUGUCUGAAUAGCCCACUUGUAGUUAGCCUACUAGUCUCAUCUGCUAAUCAUCCCGGGGCAGAUGUGUCAGCAUUCAAAUACCAGCAGCGCCAUCCCCUGCCAGAGUUUUCAUUCUCCCUACCCCAGGGCUCUGCUCUUGCCUUCCUAUGCAAUACAUACAGAAUCCUCCAAAGACUGUAGCAACAGUUUAUACACAUCUGCAGCAAAGCAACACUGAUUCAGGCACCUCAAGCAUUGGAGGGCCAGGCCACAGGCAGGACCUAGACUGUGAUGUUAAGGGGGUUUUACAGACAAGUGAUCAGAUGGAGAACUUGAAGUGUCAGUAGCUACUCAUUUAACUAAAAUGUCAGAAGCUUGUACUUAA
Colius striatus (speckled mousebird) is the source of this 2695-nucleotide RNA transcript. It is a transcript of the gene named transcription factor B1, mitochondrial, with no coding region annotated. The record is from RefSeq and is a predicted model, not a curated record. The transcript has 9 exons. NCBI's taxonomy places the organism in Eukaryota, Metazoa, Chordata, Aves, Coliiformes, Coliidae.